Molecule: small RNA, 564 nt
Filed under: Pan troglodytes (chimpanzee)
Lineage: Eukaryota; Metazoa; Chordata; Mammalia; Primates; Hominidae
Description: processed transcript
Source: RNAcentral
CCCACACGCCUCCCCAGCCCGCUGCCGCGCUGACAUCUUUGGAGAGGAGGCUUAGGAAGGCGAGGCGCCAUCGCUCAUUCUCGCGUCGUGUCUGUCCUGCUUACUAGUCGCUAGUGGGGCCACUGGCCUUCUCGCCAAACCUCUGGGAUCGGUGCUUACCGAAGCCCUGGCACUUGUGAGGGACAGCUGACUUCUUCCAGACUUUUCUAAACUGGAGGCUUCUUUUCAUACAUCCAAAAGGAAACUAACUUGUUUCUGGAACAAGUACUGUUUUCAGAGCACACACACACACACACGACCCCUACCUGUAUAUGCUGCCCCAGUACGGUUUUUACAGGUCGUGACCACAAUCCAGAAUUCCUAUCUGCUUCAUUUGAAAUUGAGAACAAUGUCAAAGUAACUAAACAAGCUGCACUACUUUACCUUGUGGGAGGAAUAUUGUCUCUGAGCCUAAGGCAAAAAUUCUGACGUUCUCAAGAGACCAGCUCUGCCCCCGUGGCUCAACUGACCCUACCAUGUGGACGCUGCUCCUCCAGGUGGGAACUGGAGUUUUGAAAUAAAAUG